RNAcentral lists this unclassified non-coding RNA (513 nucleotides) under Malacothrix coulteri. RNAcentral describes it as "partial external transcribed spacer". Lineage: Eukaryota; Viridiplantae; Streptophyta; Magnoliopsida; Asterales; Asteraceae. The record is from RNAcentral.
GGGGUAUGUUUGGCUUUUGAUUGCUUGCCUGGUGUUUGUGCCGUGCAGGUGGUUUUUAGUCGGAUGUUCUUCGGGGAUGUUGAUCGUAAAGGUGCAUGAGUGGUGUUUGGUUUGUUACGGGUGGUUGGAUGUCUGUUUGUGCAGCAACUUCCACGCGUUCAUACCUCUUCAGUUGUGCUACAAGGCUUUAUCUGUCUUGUGCAUAUGUGGUUUCUGUGUUGUAUACCUGAUGAAGGGCAUACUGUGGCUAGAUCAAAGUUCAUUUCGUGAUCCGUCAUUUGCGGCGUUGAACGAACCUUGAAGCGGUCUUUAUGGUCCAAGUUGUUGUUGCCUUGGCAAUGAUGGUAUGGCCUAUGGAGUAUCGUUUGGUUUCCUGAAUAUGGAACAUUAUGUGGGUUGUAGUGUCUUCAUUGAUCCUAUUUUUGCCCUCGUAUAGCGGGUUCGCUUCUCCAAACGAUCGCCCACCAUGUGUCGGCAUAUCCGUGCAUGGUGAGUUGUGUCGAAGAGGAAUGC